GAUGAAGAACGCAGUGAAAUGCGAUAAGUAAUGUGAAUUGCAGAAUUCAGUGAAUCAUCGAAUCUUUGAACGCACAUUGCGCCCGCUAGUAUUCUGGCGGGCAUGCCUGUCCGAGCGUCAUUUCAACCCUCAAGCCCCCGGGCUUGGUGUUGGGGAUCGGCGAGCCUCCGCGCCCGCCGUCCCCUAAAUCUAGUGGCGGUCUCGCUGUAGCUUCCUCUGCGUAGUAGCACACCUCGCACUGGGAAACAGCGCGGCCACGCCGUUAACCCCCAACUUCUGAACGUUUGACCUCGGAUCAGGUAGGAAUACCCGCUGAACUUAAGCAUAUCAAUAAGCGGAGGA
This 342-nucleotide unclassified non-coding RNA is filed under the name soil metagenome. Its description in RNAcentral is "partial contains 5.8S ribosomal RNA, internal transcribed spacer 2, and large subunit ribosomal RNA". The stretch from base 1 to 120 matches the Rfam family "5.8S ribosomal RNA", at positions 35 to 154 of the family's 154-position model. The record is from RNAcentral.